GCUCGAGUGGCGAAUGGGUGAGUAACACGUGAGUAACCUGCCCUUGACUUUGGGAUAACUUCAGGAAACUGGGGCUAAUACCGGAUAGGAGCUCCUGCUGCAUGGUGGGGGUUGGAAAGUUUCGGCGGUUGGGGAUGGACUCGCGGCUUAUCAGCUUGUUGGUGGGGUAGUGGCUUACCAAGGCUUUGACGGGUAGCCGGCCUGAGAGGGUGACCGGCCACAUUGGGACUGAGAUACGGCCCAG
This 244-nucleotide ribosomal RNA is filed under the name uncultured Actinomycetales bacterium. RNAcentral describes it as "partial 16S ribosomal RNA". It matches the Rfam family "Bacterial small subunit ribosomal RNA", at positions 89 to 334 of the family's 1533-position model. Lineage: Bacteria; Bacillati; Actinomycetota; Actinomycetes; Actinomycetales. The record is from RNAcentral.